CCUACGGGUGGCAGCAGUAGGGAAUUUUCGGCAAUGGGGGGAACCCUGAUCGAGCAACGCCGCGUGAACGAAGAAGUUAUUCGUAUUGUAAAGUUCUUUUAACAGGGAAGAAAGAGAAAUUUGACGGUACCUGAGGAAUAAGCUUCGGCGCACGACGUGCCAGCAGCCGCGUUAAUACGUAGGGAGCGAGCUUUAUGCGGAAUUAUUGGGCGUAAAGGGUGCGUAGAUGGCAUAGUAAGGCUUUUGUAAAAAUGCUGGGCUAAACCCAGUAGGGCAAAAGAUACUGCAAAGUUAGAGUAUGACAGAGGCAAGUAGAACUACAGGUGUAGCGGUGAAAUGCGUAGAUAUAUGGAAGAACACCAGUGGCGAAGGCGGCUUGCUGGGUCGAUACUGACAUUGAGGCACGAAAGCGUGGGGAGCAAACAGGAUUAGAUACCCUAGUAGUC
This 446-nucleotide ribosomal RNA is filed under the name uncultured bacterium. RNAcentral describes it as "partial 16S ribosomal RNA". It matches the Rfam family "Bacterial small subunit ribosomal RNA", at positions 338 to 795 of the family's 1533-position model. The record is from RNAcentral.